UGGUAGCUCAGCUGGAUAGAGCGACUGCCUCCUAAGCAGUAGGCCGUGAGUUCGAAUCUCGCCC
RNAcentral lists this transfer RNA (64 nucleotides) under chicken gut metagenome. It matches the Rfam family "tRNA", at positions 6 to 65 of the family's 71-position model. From Rfam's summary of the family: Transfer RNA (tRNA) molecules are approximately 80 nucleotides in length. Their secondary structure includes four short double-helical elements and three loops (D, anti-codon, and T loops). The record is from RNAcentral.